This 758-nucleotide long non-coding RNA is filed under the name Nicotiana benthamiana. RNAcentral describes it as "long non-coding RNA (NBEN_LNC031560)". Lineage: Eukaryota; Viridiplantae; Streptophyta; Magnoliopsida; Solanales; Solanaceae. The record is from RNAcentral.
UUUAUUUUCAAUAGAACAUUGAUACAAAGAAAAGUAAAAAGAAAGCAAUAGUAACAAGUAAUAAUAACCACACAAUAAUAAAAAAACAAGGUGAAAAGAACAAUAAUAGAAUACAGGACUAGCAUUGAUACUGCUGGUUUUCUACCUUAAACAUCAACUCCACACCUUCCCGUUAAGGUUAAGGAUGAUGUCCUCGAUUUUUUUCUUCUCGUCAAAUAUGAUAAUAUUUUGCUUUUGAAUAAUUUUUCUAGUAAUAUAAUUGGUUGGUUACUUGAACUUUCGUUUUGUCGGUGAGAGUCCCUUUUCUAAUCUCCAUCCCUGGUUACCGUAAAUUUUCCGCCGCCGGCGAAUCCGCUUGUUUCUAUAAAUACACAAAUCUAUAUACCAAAAGCAUUAUAAUUUUAAAAAAGUUAAGAGUAUAUACUAUAUAACCUCAGUAUCUGCAAACGACGGUUUCAAUUCUUCUCUCUAUCUAUAAAACGGGAAAUUGUGACCUAAGCACUUGCUCUGUUUUCUUCUGCUCCUUUUGUGGGAACGCAUUUUUUGCGUGAAGUUAUUUUGGAAAAGCCUUAAAAAUUCUAGAAUGGAGAUGCUACAGUACUGGCUUGUGUUUCUCUAACACUAAAUUUUUUUAGGGUUUCAUAUUUGGAAGAGUUAGGUUUUAGGUUUCUUUUUGGGAGAAGACGUGCGGUGAAUGGCGGUGGAGUAUAGAUGUUGCAAGACAGGGUUCUUCAUACAUAUUUUGAUAAUUAUUUUUC